Molecule: long non-coding RNA, 503 nt
Filed under: Phasianus colchicus (ring-necked pheasant)
Lineage: Eukaryota; Metazoa; Chordata; Aves; Galliformes; Phasianidae
Description: lncRNA (ENSPCLG00000008818.1)
Source: RNAcentral
GGUUGGUGGGAAGGGCAUGAUAGGAGUGCAGAGAAGCUUGCUUGAACCUGCAUCUCUUCUGGUGCUGCAGACUAUGAACUCCUGUGCCUUUGAGCAUGCUUGGCAUGCUGACUCUGAGUAGUUUCUCUUCUGAGAGGGAAUCCCCAUUACAGUACUGCAAGAGCCAGCGUUGUAUGAGAACCCACGUGUACUUAAUGGCACAGCUGAGGGGUUUGCUUCCAAAUUGUGCUGCUGAACCAAACUAAAACUGAAGUAGAUACUUCCCUUCCAGUGAUAAUAUUCUGCAGUCCUGUCUGUUCACUGGCUGAGGAAAAAUGGCUCUAAUAAACAGUGGCAACUGUCGGUCUGGCAAUAAAUCCCACUCAGCUUGGGGCCUUGCACAAUGCAGUCUCCUCAACAAACCCAGGUGCCGCACAGACACACGUCCUUGUUUUUCACCAGUGAGGCAGGGAAGAGCUUUCAUUCCUGCUUCCUGGGGAACCUUUGCAAAUGCUAAUCAGUGA